This 1125-nucleotide long non-coding RNA is filed under the name Cyanistes caeruleus (blue tit). RNAcentral's name for it is "lncRNA (ENSCCEG00000015246.1)". The record is from RNAcentral. Lineage: Eukaryota; Metazoa; Chordata; Aves; Passeriformes; Paridae.
GAUCCUCUGAUUACCAACUCAGCUGGUUCUAACUGGGUGCAGUGGGAUGUGUCUGCAAGUAAACUAUUGCAGUAUGUGUAUAUAAUCUCUUGUCAUGUGUUCUCUAGGUCAUGUGCUGUCAGUUUAUAUCUUCUGGUUUAGGAAGCAAAACAAGUUAUUAAUGUAGAUGGACUUGCAUUGAUUUUAGCAGGAUUUGUGGAAAAGAAAUAAUUCAUUGAAGUUGUCAGAGCUGCUGUAGUGUUCUCAGAGUGUUUCAAUUAGAACUUUUAAGGAACUGGAAAACCCAAAGCUCAGGUGAUGGAAAAGUUUGCCUGAACUUCAGGAAAGAUUUCCCAUUUUGCAAUUUCUCCUGGAUCAGCAUUCCAGAGCCUUCUUUCUUCUUGUCUGGGGAAGAAAAGUUUAUAAGUACCAAGAAAACAGAGCUUACGGAAGAAAGCACGGGACUGGGCUAUGCUAAAAAAGGGAUUUUUAUGCUUUUUACUUCAUAUCUGACUUGUAGGGCACUGUGAGUGUGGUGCCAGACUGAGGCUCCCCUGAGCUUGAGGUGUGUAGGAAUCAUGUAUCUACUCGCUGCUCUUAGUGGUACCUGUCCUGAAGGUGGAGCAUCUAUACAGAUAACAGCAGUGACACACUGAGGGACUACAUUUGUUCUGGGGUUUGACACUGGCAGGUCACUAAGCCCCAGGCACCUGCCUUUCAGUGCCUGUAACAGAAAUAGUGAGUGCCUGCUGCAGCUGGCUGAAGGAGAUGUGUGCCCUGUAGGAGCAGAGGAAGGUGGGAUAUUAGCAGUUUAUCUGUUUUAUUAAAGUUGUCUCUAGGAAGCAGUGGUUAGUCACAGCAGUCCCCCCUGAGUUUAAAGGGAUUAAUAACUUCGGCAAGAACUCAUUUAUAUUGCAGACAAGUGAGCUCAUCUAAGCCCUGUAUGUUGAAGGGUUGAUCCUAACAGAAAGUAAGUUUUAAACAUCCACAUCAUUUAUUAUAUGUGCUCUCUGUCUGCUCAGCAGCUGGCUCAGGCCUCAGUGAUCUAAUUCACCAUAUCUGACCACCACAUGAGGGAGUCUUUAAACUGUUAGAAAUCAGUGUGUGGGUUUGUGUGCGUGGAGGGGUGAGAGUGGAGCAAUGUAC